Molecule: unclassified non-coding RNA, 72 nt
Filed under: Sorangium cellulosum So ce56
Lineage: Bacteria; Pseudomonadati; Myxococcota; Polyangiales; Polyangiaceae
Description: sce_SECIS_2
Source: RNAcentral
AGGCGACUGAGACGCGCGCUGCACAUCGACGCCUCGGUCCUGCGCCUCGGGCCGAAUGCGCAUUUUGACACA